UCCCAGCCCAUGUUUCAGUAUAUAUAAAUAGAUGGGUUUUUAUGAAAUACAUUAAAAUUAUGUAUAUGCCUAUGUAUAAAUUAGAUGAGUUGUUAUGAAAUACAUUAUCAUGAAUGCAAAGGAUUUUAAGAAAUUACACAUGUACAAAGUCAUGUACAUUAAGGUUUCUCUUGAAUUUUACCAUAAUCAUACAUUAUUAGUUUCCAAUUAAAUUUACCAUGGACAUACAAAAAUGAAAAGGUUUCUCAUGAAAUUCACCAUAGCCAUACAUAAAUGAAAAAGGUUUCUUAUGAAAUUUACCAUAGCCAAACAUAAUUGUAAUGAUUUCUUAUGAAAUUUACCAUAGCCAUUCAUACAUGUAAAUGAAAAUGGUUUCUUAUGAAAUUUACCAUAGCCAUGCAUAAAUGAAAAGGUUUCUUAUGAAAUUUACCAUAGCCAUGCAUAAAUGAAAAUGAUUUCUUAUGAAAUUUACCAUAGCCAUGCAUAAAUGAAAAUGAUUUCUUAUGAAAUUUACCAUAGCCAUGCAUAAAUGAAAAGGUUUCUUAUGAAAUUUACCAUAGCCAUGCAUAAAUGAAAAAGGUUUCUUAUGAAAUUUACCAUAGCCAUACACAAAUGAAAAAGGUUUCUCAUGAAAUUUAUCAUAGCCAUACAUAAAUGAAAA
Ruditapes philippinarum (Manila clam) is the source of this 661-nucleotide long non-coding RNA. RefSeq lists it as uncharacterized. The record is from RefSeq and is a predicted model, not a curated record. NCBI's taxonomy places the organism in Eukaryota, Metazoa, Mollusca, Bivalvia, Venerida, Veneridae. The transcript has 2 exons.